This 1335-nucleotide long non-coding RNA is filed under the name Capsella rubella. Its description in RNAcentral is "long non-coding RNA (CRUB_LNC001229)". The record is from RNAcentral. Lineage: Eukaryota; Viridiplantae; Streptophyta; Magnoliopsida; Brassicales; Brassicaceae.
CUCCUCCGCCGCUCCCAAGCGGCCAAUACCGGUGUGUCUGUGUGUUUAUCUUUUUUCACGAAACGACGCGUUGAUAUGGUUUCUAAGGCGUUGAGACGAUUUUGAUGAAAUUUUGUAUUUAUUUCAAAGGGAAAACAAAAAUUGUGGUUGUGAAACAAAGUCGUGGCUUUUUCUCAUAUUUCAUAUUGUUGAAGGACCUAUAUAUUAAAUAUAAAGGUUAAAGCUUAUUAAAAACGUGAAAAAGACAGAAUCAUAGUAAACAACAACAGAACUAAUUAAAAUAUAACAUCAAACUUAGGAAGUUUUAAGGAAAUAUAUUUUAACUACACGUUACCACUUAGCACGAGUAUGAUUCUGAUUUCUGAUUUAUAUUUUACCUUAAUAGUGUCGUUCUAGUGAAAAGCUAAUUACCAUAUGCAGUUUUGGAGUAUGGAACCAAAUCUAUCGAUGAGACCACAUGUGACAACAAUAGUAAUCAGACGUGGAAGCGUAUUGCCUUCAUAGUAUUACAAACAAGCCAAAAAAGGUUAGAUUUCGAAGCAAUUAAUGUGCCAUUUAAUUCGGUUGAUGCAAAUAUCAAAAGCCCCAACUGUAUAUAUGACUCUGUGUGGACUAAAUUGUUUCCAACCCUACAAAACUGAUGAACGUUACUUGGAAUUUGGACCGUGGCCCAAUUGGUUACGUUUGGCGCUGGUCCUAAACCAACUCUACCCUUUGCACACGUGAGUAUAAUAGUCAAAGACCGAGUGGGCCAAAUUUGUUUGUGAAAUACACGUCCACGGCCCAAUAAACUUCUUUCGCGUCCGAGUUUGUGCAAUCUCACUUUAUCCAUCCACACGCAUUGGAAAAACACGUGACAAAGGACACACAGUUAAAUAAAAUCGAAGGUAUCUUCAACUUUGAACUACUCACUCACUUCAUUUACCACACGUAUGGGUUACUGUAAAUUUUGCUGCCCCAUAAUUAAAAAGUUUCCAAAGCGAUAAAUUGAUUUAAAAAAUAUUUCCUAAAUAUGAUGGAGGGAAUAUUUAAAUUGUUUUUGGUGAAACUUUAGGGAAAAGCUGAUACGGGUGGGGUGUGAAAAAGAGACAAAAGGAGAGAAUUUAGAAAUGAGGUGGUGAAGGUAUGUUGGAUUGUUGUGUGGGGGGUCGACGAUGAUAUUUGGUCAAUAAAGCAUACCGCAUUAUUGGACAGACACAUUUACAUAUUUUUACCACCCCCUUUCAUCUUACUCUUAUUAUUAUUUCCGUGUACUUAAAAGAACAAUGUUGUAUCCACCACAAUAAACUAAAGUGACCAGAAACCUAAUUAUUAGAUAUGGGUCAUUUCAACUCC